GGGGAUUUAGCUCAGCGGCAUAAGCGCCUGCCUUGCAAGCAGGCAGGCAUGAGUUCGAUCCUCAGUAUUGACA
Molecule: transfer RNA, 73 nt
Filed under: Cavia porcellus (domestic guinea pig)
Lineage: Eukaryota; Metazoa; Chordata; Mammalia; Rodentia; Caviidae
Rfam family: tRNA
About the family: Transfer RNA (tRNA) molecules are approximately 80 nucleotides in length. Their secondary structure includes four short double-helical elements and three loops (D, anti-codon, and T loops). Further hydrogen bonds mediate the characteristic L-shaped molecular structure. tRNAs have two regions of fundamental functional importance: the anti-codon, which is responsible for specific mRNA codon recognition, and the 3' end, to which the tRNAs corresponding amino acid is attached (by aminoacyl-tRNA synthetases). tRNAs cope with the degeneracy of the genetic code in two manners: having more than one tRNA (with a specific anti-codon) for a particular amino acid; and 'wobble' base-pairing, i.e. permitting non-standard base-pairing at the 3rd anti-codon position.
Source: Rfam by way of RNAcentral